Molecule: ribosomal RNA, 401 nt
Filed under: uncultured bacterium
Lineage: Bacteria
Description: bacterial SSU rRNA
Rfam family: Bacterial small subunit ribosomal RNA
Source: RNAcentral
UAUUGGACAAUGGGCGAAAGCCUGAUCCAGCAAUACCGCGUGUGUGAAGAAGGCCUUAGGGUUGUAAAGCACUUUCAAUUGGGAGGAAAACCUGCCGGUCAAUACCCGGUAGCUUGACAUUACCUUUAGAAGAAGCACCGGCUAACUCCGUGCCAGCAGCCGCGGUAAUACGGAGGGUGCGAGCGUUAAUCGGAAUUACUGGGCGUAAAGCGUGCGUAGGCGGUUCGUUAAGUCAGAUGUGAAAGCCCUGGGCUCAACCUGGGAACUGCAUUUGAAACUGGCGGACUAGAGUUUAGUAGAGGGGAGUGGAAUUUCAGGUGUAGCGGUGAAAUGCGUAGAUAUCUGAAGGAACACCAGUGGCGAAGGCGACUCCCUGGACUAGAACUGACGCUGAGUACAAA